This 161-nucleotide ribosomal RNA is filed under the name uncultured Bacillus sp. RNAcentral's name for it is "partial 16S ribosomal RNA". It matches the Rfam family "Bacterial small subunit ribosomal RNA", at positions 355 to 507 of the family's 1533-position model. The record is from RNAcentral. Lineage: Bacteria; Bacillati; Bacillota; Bacilli; Caryophanales; Bacillaceae.
UAGGGAAUCUUCCGCAAUGGACGAAAGUCUGACGGAGCGACGCCGCGUGAGCGAUGAAGGUCUUCGGAUCGUAAAGCUCUGUUGUUAGGGAAGAACAAGUAUCGUUCGAAUAGGGCGGUACCUUGACGGUACCUAACCAGAAAGCCACGGCUAACUACGUG